AGCAGUAGCCGCGGUAAUACAGAGGGUGCAAGCGUUAAUCGGAAUUACUGGGCGUAAAGCGCGCGUAGGUGGUUUGUUAAGUUGGAUGUGAAAGCCCCGGGCUCAACCUGGGAACUGCAUCCAAAACUGGCAAGCUAGAGUACGGUAGAGGGUGGUGGAAUUUCCUGUGUAGCGGUGAAAUGCGUAGAUAUAGGAAGGAACACCAGUGGCGAAGGCGACCACCUGGACUGAUACUGACACUGAGGUGCGAAAGCGUGGGGAGCAAACAGGAUUAGAUACCCGCGUAGUCCCUGUCUCUUAUAC
RNAcentral lists this ribosomal RNA (303 nucleotides) under uncultured bacterium. RNAcentral's name for it is "partial 16S ribosomal RNA". It matches the Rfam family "Bacterial small subunit ribosomal RNA", at positions 507 to 807 of the family's 1533-position model. The record is from RNAcentral.